Molecule: ribosomal RNA, 492 nt
Filed under: Lentilactobacillus parabuchneri
Lineage: Bacteria; Bacillati; Bacillota; Bacilli; Lactobacillales; Lactobacillaceae
Description: bacterial SSU rRNA
Rfam family: Bacterial small subunit ribosomal RNA
Source: RNAcentral
AUNGAUGUUNNAUGCUUGCAUUUAACUGAUUUAACAUUGAGACGAGUGGCGAACUGGUGAGUAACACGUGGGUAACCUGCCCUUGAAGUAGGGGAUAACACUUGGAAACAGGUGCUAAUACCGUAUAACAACCAAAACCACCUGGUUUUGGUUUAAAAGAUGGCUUCGGCUAUCACUUUAGGAUGGACCCGCGGCGUAUUAGCUUGUUGGUAAGGUAACGGCCUACCAAGGCAAUGAUACGUAGCCGACCUGAGAGGGUAAUCGGCCACAUUGGGACUGAGACACGGCCCAAACUCCUACGGGAGGCAGCAGUAGGGAAUCUUCCACAAUGGACGAAAGUCUGAUGGAGCAACGCCGCGUGAGUGAUGAAGGGUUUCGGCUCGUAAAACUCUGUUGUUGGAGAAGAACAGGUGUGAGAGUAACUGUUCACAUCUUGACGGUAUCCAACCAGAAAGCCACGGCUAACUACGUGCCAGCAGCCCGCGGUAUCAA